UUUCGGAUAGCUCAGUGGGAGAGCAGUAGACCGUAAAUCUACUUGGCGCGGGUUCGAAUCCCGCUCCGACAA
RNAcentral lists this transfer RNA (72 nucleotides) under Sphingobium ummariense. Its description in RNAcentral is "tRNA-Tyr". It matches the Rfam family "tRNA". From Rfam's summary of the family: Transfer RNA (tRNA) molecules are approximately 80 nucleotides in length. Their secondary structure includes four short double-helical elements and three loops (D, anti-codon, and T loops). RNAcentral also lists the same sequence under 1 other name. The record is from RNAcentral. Lineage: Bacteria; Pseudomonadati; Pseudomonadota; Alphaproteobacteria; Sphingomonadales; Sphingobiaceae.